GAGGAAUAAGCAUCGGCUAACUCCGUGCCAGCAGCCGCGGUAAUACGGGGGAUGCAAGCGUUAUCCGGAAUCAUUGGGCGUAAAGCGCCUGUAGGUUGUUUACUAAGUCUGUUGUUAAAGACUAGGGCUUAACCCUAGAAAAGCAAUGGAAACUUGUAGACUAGAGUAUGGCAGGGGUAGAGGGAAUUUCUAGUGUAGCGGUGAAAUGCGUAGAUAUUAAAAAGAACACCAGUGGCGAAAGCGCUCUACUGGACCAUUACUGACACUCAGAGGCGAAAGCUAGGGUAGCAAAAGGGAUUAGAUACCCCUGUAGUCCUAGCCGUAAACGAUGGAUACUAGAUGUUGUGCUUAGUACAGUAUCGUAGCUAACGCGUUAAGUAUCCCGCCUGGGGAGUACGCUCGCAAGGGUGAAACUCAAAGGAAUUGACGGGGGCCCGCACAAGCGGUGGAGCAUGUGGUUUAAUUUGAUGCAACGCGAAGAACCUUACCAGGGCUUGACAUACUACAAAUUCUUUUGAGAAAGAGAAGUGCCUUCGGGAAUGUAGAUACAGGUGGUGCAUGGCUGUCGUCAGCUCGUGUUGUGAGAUGUUGGGUUAAGUCCCGCAACGAGCGCAACCCUUAUUUUUAGUUACCAAUUCGUUGGGUUUUUUAGAAAGACUGCCGGUGACAAACCGGAGGAAGGUGAGGAUGACGUCAAGUCAGCAUGCCCCUUAUGUCCUGGGCUACACACGUGCUACAAUGGUUAAGACAAAGAGUCGCAAGCUCGCGAGAGUUAGCUAAUCUAUUAAACUUAGCCUAAGUUCAGAUUGUAGGCUGCAACUCGCCUAGCAUGAAG
RNAcentral lists this ribosomal RNA (835 nucleotides) under Haptophyta environmental samples. RNAcentral's name for it is "bacterial SSU rRNA". It matches the Rfam family "Bacterial small subunit ribosomal RNA", at positions 481 to 1325 of the family's 1533-position model. The record is from RNAcentral. Lineage: Eukaryota; Haptophyta.